AGAGGCGUCAACAAAAUCUCUCAAUAAAUUACUCAAUAUAUAUCUGUUUAUAAGUGUACAUACAUAGCUAAAUAGAUAGAUACAGAUAUACAUAUAUGUAUAUAUAACGAGCCGCAUAUAGUAAUUCCAUAGAUAUUUGCAAUCGCUUCCUACUUUUCCAUUUCGCGUGUUGCGCUUUUGUCUUUGCUCUGUAUUCUAUAGAUUAUUUGUUUUGUUUUCAUUUCUUUAUUAUUUUUAUAAAUAAUGCCAUAGAGAAUUAUUUCUGUGCUUUUACAAUGCUGAGAAUGCGCUCCUCAAUUACAUAAAAAUCGUCUGAUUGAAAUGGAAUUGUCUAUCGAACAAAAGUGCUAAGAAUAAAAACUUUUAUAUGAAUCGAGAAAUUCAUUUUUCAUAUCUGACAAUUGAACGUACAAGAAAUACAAAUGUCAGGCAAAUUUUGAUUACAAACCCAAUAUGAAUGACAGUUGUUAUCAAGUGAAAGAUCAAAGAUAGAGUGAACCAUAAGUCUAAAGCAAAUCAAAUAUAUUUACUUUACUUGUUUAAAAAAAAAAAGUGCUCUAGCUGGCACUUUGAAAAAAUGGAGUGAAAUUAUCGAUUUUUAUUUAUACUAAUUGAAAAAUGGAUCGUGUUAUCGAUAACAAUGGCAAUAUACAAGUUAUGCUUAAAAAUUAAGUGAAAUUAUAGAUUUUUAUUUAUAUUAAUUGACAAAAAAAAUAAUUGAAAUAUAUCGAUAACAAUGGUAAAUGCAUAGAAUAGACAAGAAUACAUUUAAUGUGUGGGAUGUGUUAUCGAUAACAAUGAUAAAUGCAUAGAAUAGAAAAAAAUAUAUUUUAAAUGUCAAGUCUUUAGCUUUUGGAUUUACUCUAGCUCAACUCAUUUCGUCAGCCUAAUCAACAAUAUGGGGUCUGCCACGCCUCCUUCUGCCUGUCACAUACCUUUCAAUAAAAUCAGUAUGCCCUAAUUUUCCCUUUUGCAGUGUAUAAAAACCUUUUGCUGCCUGCAUAAAAAACUGCAUUUAAUUUAUUUAAAAAUAUAUAUAAAUAUAUUUAUUUAUAUACCAGGCAUUGAUGUUGUCAAUUUAAUUCAUUCCCCUCGUUUUGAGUCCAUUCUAAUACAGUUAUAAUUUACUCUUUAUGCAAGCGUUGAAAACUUGAAAUUUUCCACUUGAUUUAUUCAUUAAUUGCGCCCUUAACGCCUGCAAUUGUAUAAAAAAAAUUAAUAUGUAUAUAUAUACAAAUUAAUAAAAGAAAAUUACAGUGUAAACAGCGCAGCUGCAUAUUAAGAACUGAGGCCUACAACACUUAUAAUUGCAAGUCGCUUAAUGAGCGACAACUUGACGACUUUUAUGAGCUGCAAUCAAGUGUUAAGCUGCAUACAAUUGAAUCUAAUUGGAUCUGCUUGUGCUCCUCUCCCCUUGAUCCAGAUAACAAUUGACAAGUCAAAAAAAAAAAAAAAAAAAAAAAAAAACGUUGCUCAAAUCGUUUAAUCAGUAAUAAACACACACUUAUGCACUUAUAUCCCUAUAUAUGAAUAUGAGUAUAAAUUUAUGAAUUGCUUUUAUUUUUAUCGAAUUUAGAUUUAUAUCUUUAUUAACUGAGCAAUUUAUAUGUGCAUGAGCUUUAUUUAUGGCAACGCAUUUAGUCUUAUCAUAUUGGAAUUUAUACUUUUGAUCAAGCUCAGUAAGAUUUACUAUAUAAACAGUUAACUUUGUAAGCUGAAAUAUAACUGAAUACUGCAGCUGAAUAGCUGCCAUAGCUCACACAACUUCUGAAUCGACAUUGAAUUAUUUGCUGACAUAAGUCAAGUACGAGUCUUACAUAGCACCUACAUAUCAGAUCCUAAGCUGGGCGCAAUCUAUAAUCGAAUUGCGCCAGCUUCGGUGAUCUUGGCAUGUAGCUAACAAUUGUUAACUCAAACAGAAGAGCACUUUUUUAUGGCAUUGCAGGCAGUAGGAAACGGCAGCCCGAACGAAAUCAACUUGGCACCUUAAUAAAAGCAGCACCAUAUGGAUAGAGAGAUACCGAUACCAAGUUCGAGACCGGGCCGCGAAUCACAAGUCAGAUACAUCAUUUAGAAACGUUUAUUGCUAAGAUAAAUUCAGCAAGGAGUUUAAUAGCCACUAUCAAUAUUUGUACAACAAAUAAGCGACGAGCGCGACCGAGCUCAAUGCGAGGCGGCGUAAAAUGUCGCAGCCAUAAGAUAGAGACGAAAUCGUAGCAGCAACAGCAGCAGCAACAGAUGCGUAAGGCGAAUUAACACAAACGCGUUAAUACAAUUAGUUUAAAAGUGAAAAAUCUCAUAUACAAUAUAUAUAUUUAUAUAUA
This is a long non-coding RNA of Drosophila mojavensis, 2324 nucleotides long. RefSeq lists it as uncharacterized. Lineage: Eukaryota; Metazoa; Arthropoda; Insecta; Diptera; Drosophilidae. The record is from RefSeq and is a predicted model, not a curated record. The transcript is spliced from 2 exons.